Molecule: non-coding RNA, 96 nt
Organism: Zea mays
Lineage: Eukaryota; Viridiplantae; Streptophyta; Magnoliopsida; Poales; Poaceae
Source: Rfam
GUGAGCCAUAUGAUGGGCAACUAUCUCCUAUGGUUUAGAGAGGACUCAGCUAUUAGUUAGUACCCCUUGGUUUCGAGGUCGACCCUUUCACUCUAU